RNAcentral lists this ribosomal RNA (329 nucleotides) under uncultured eukaryote. RNAcentral describes it as "partial 18S ribosomal RNA". It matches the Rfam family "Eukaryotic small subunit ribosomal RNA", at positions 1470 to 1796 of the family's 1831-position model. The record is from RNAcentral.
CCCUUAGAUGUCCUGGGCCGCACGCGCGCUACACUGAGUGUCUGAGAUACGAGUCUGCCUGGUCCGGCAAGGUCUAGGUAAUCGCUAAAAGACACAUCAUGCUUGGGAUAGAUUAUUGCAAAUAUUAAUCUUGAACGAGGAAUUCCUAGUAAGCGCAAGUCAACAGCUUGCGUCGAUUACGUCCCUGCCCUUUGUACACACCGCCCGUCGCUACUACUGAUUGGAUGUUUAAGCGAGGUUCUCGAACUGCUAGCGACUUAGCUUCGGUGAGGUCGCAGUGUGGGAAGUGAACCUAGCUUUGGUGUCUAGAGGAAGUAAAAGUCGUAACA